Molecule: ribosomal RNA, 795 nt
Filed under: Triticum aestivum (bread wheat)
Lineage: Eukaryota; Viridiplantae; Streptophyta; Magnoliopsida; Poales; Poaceae
Description: partial small subunit ribosomal RNA
Source: RNAcentral
AUGGCGCUGUCGGUGCACGCCGCCGCCGUCGCCGCCCCGCGUCUCCUCCCCCCUCCCUCGCUCCACCGCUCUGCUCCGAGCACGGCGCCUCCUCUCCUCCCCCUCCUCCGCGCCGUCGCCUCCCUCCGCUCGGGCCCCAGCUCCUCCCGGUGGACGCGGCGGGCGAGCGUGCGGGUGCGCGCAGGCGCCGGCGGCGGAGGGCGGAGGAGGGAGUCCCCGUACGAGGUGCUCGGCGUGGCGCCGUCGGCCGCGCCCGCCGACAUCAAGCGCGCGUACCGGCGCCUCGCGCUCAAGUACCACCCGGACGUCAACAAGGAGGCGAAUGCUCAGGAGAAGUUUCUGAGGAUCAAGCACGCCUACAACACGCUGAUGAACUCGGAGAGCCGAUCCAAGUACGCGAGCAGCAGCAGCAGCAGCCCUGAUUCUUCGUGGUCUCCCGGGAGCAGCAAGCCAGCUGAUGCAGAAGAGGAUUUCUAUGGGUUUGGGGAUUUCCUUAAAGACCUGCAAACAGAAUUUCAGAACUGGGAGGCUGGCCUGAACUCAGAGCAGAAACCUAACAGCCUGUGGGAAGAACUGUCAGCGAUUGGUGAGGAGUUUGUUGAGUUCCUGGAGAACGAACUGAACAUCGACGGCUCGAGCACCGAGGAAGACGACGCGAACGAUCCGUACACGCAGUUUGGAGGGAAAGGCGGAAAUGCCCAGGGUGACAAGAAAGGAACAAACAGCUCCGACGAUGGCGUGUCCGACAUAGAGUCCGUCCUCGAGCAGCUGAAGAAGGAGCUUGGGCUCAGCUGA